CUAGCGGCGCGUUUCAGGCAUGCAAGUCGCACGGCACCAGCCCUUCGGGGUGUUGGCGAGUGGCGCACGGGUGAGUAACGCGUAGGUCAUCUGCCCUUAGGUCAGGGAUAGCCCUUCGAAAGUUGGAUUAAUACCUGAUAAUAUGGCGACAUCAAAGGAUUUAUUCGCCUAAGGAUGAGCCUGCGUUAGAUUAGCUUGUUGGUGAGGUAACGGCUCACCAAGGCGACGAUCUAUAGCCGAGUUGAGAGGCUGAUCGGCCACAUUGGAACUGAGACACGGUCCAGACUCCUACGGGAGGCAGCAGCUAAGAAUCUUCCGCAAUGGGCGCAAGCCUGACGGAGCGACGCCGCGUGAACGAUGAAGGCCUUUCGGGUUGUAAAGUUCUUUUAUAAGAGACGAAUGUCUGGUGUAGGCCAGACUGACUGUAUCUUUUGAAUAAGGUCCGGCUAACUACGUGCCAGCAGCCGCGGUAAUACGUAGGGACCAAGCGUUGUUCGGAAUUAUUGGGCGUAAAGGGUACGUAGGCGGCACGAUAAGUCAGAUGUGAAACCCUCGGGCUCAACCUGAGGCCUGCGUCUGAUACUGUUGUGCUAGAGUUACUGAGAGGAAGACGGAAUUCCUGGUGUAGGGGUGAAAUCUAUAGAUAUCAGGAAGAACACCUAUUGCGAAGGCAGUCUUCUGGCAGCUAACUGACGCUGAUGUACGAAAGUUAGGGUAGCAAACAGGAUUAGAGACCCUGGUAGUCCUAACCGUAAACGUUGUAUACUAGGUGGUUGAAGUAUCGAUCCUUUGACUGCCGGAG
RNAcentral lists this ribosomal RNA (802 nucleotides) under uncultured organism. Its description in RNAcentral is "bacterial SSU rRNA". It matches the Rfam family "Bacterial small subunit ribosomal RNA", at positions 36 to 851 of the family's 1533-position model. The record is from RNAcentral.